UAGGGAAUAUUAGAAAUGGACGAAAGUCUGAUCUAGCAACACCGCGUGUGCGAAGAAGGCCUUCGGGUCGUAAAGCACUUUUUGGAAGGAAUAGGAAGGAAUGUACUUCCAGAAUAAGUCUCGGCUAACUACGUGCCAGCAGCCGCGGUAACACGUAGGAGGCAAACGUUAUCCGGAUUUACUGGGCGUAAAGCGCGUGUAGGUGGUUCUGUAAGUAGGGCGUGAAAGCUCCCGGCUCAACUGGGAGAUGCCGUUCUAAACUGCAGAGCUAGAGGAUGGUAGAGGGAGGUGGAAUUCCAGGUGUAGCGGUGGAAUGCGCAGAUAUCUGGAGGAACACCAGUGGCGAAGGCGGCCUCCUGGACCAUUCCUGACACUCAGACACGAAAGCUAGGGUAGCAAACGG
Molecule: ribosomal RNA, 403 nt
Filed under: uncultured bacterium
Lineage: Bacteria
Description: bacterial SSU rRNA
Rfam family: Bacterial small subunit ribosomal RNA
Source: RNAcentral